CGGCACCCCAGAUGUUUUGGACUACACCUCCCAUGACGCUUUGCCAGCAUUAUGGGUGAUGUAGUCCACACAUCUGGAGUGCCG
This is a non-coding RNA of Pelobates cultripes (western spadefoot toad), 84 nucleotides long. Lineage: Eukaryota; Metazoa; Chordata; Amphibia; Anura; Pelobatidae. The record is from the annotation of a GenBank genome assembly.